RNAcentral lists this ribosomal RNA (451 nucleotides) under uncultured bacterium. RNAcentral describes it as "partial 16S ribosomal RNA". It matches the Rfam family "Bacterial small subunit ribosomal RNA", at positions 354 to 796 of the family's 1533-position model. The record is from RNAcentral.
GUGGGGAAUAUUGGACAAUGGGGGGAACCCUGAUCCAGCCAUGCCGCGUGUGUGAAGAAGGCCUUUUGGUUGUAAAGCACUUUAAGCGAGGAGGAGGCUACCGAGAUUAAUACUCUUGGAUAGUGGACGUUACUCGCAGAAUAAGCACCGGCUAACUCUGUGCCAGCAGCCGCGGUAAUACAGAGGGUGCAAGCGUUAAUCGGAUUUACUGGGCGUAAAGCGCGCGUAGGUGGCCAAUUAAGUCAAAUGUGAAAUCCCCGAGCUUAACUUGGGAGUUGCAUUCGAUACUGGUUGGCUAGAGUAUGGGAGAGGAUGGUAGAAUUCCAGGUGUAGCGGUGAAAUGCGUAGAGAUCUGGAGGAAUACCGAUGGCGAAGGCAGCCAUCUGGCCUAAUACUGACACUGAGGUGCGAAAGCAUGGGGAGCAAACAGGAUUAGAUACCCUGGUAGUCC